AAAAACAGAAAAACAUACAGAUGAGUAACGAAGAAGUCUUAAUGGAAUCCCUUUGAGAUCAGUCUUCAUUUUAGUAUUCAACUGAAUUUUUCAUCUUCCUUUGAACAUAGCAAGAAAUUUUUCAUUUAAGCUUUUAAGCAAGGUUCGCUGUACCGGUAUCGGACGGCGUGCUGGUGCCGGACCGGUACGGUAUGAUGCCGGUACCGUACCGUACCGACACAUGGUAUGCCUAAACGUACCGGUCUGAUAUUGGUACACAAUAUUUUUUUCGAUUUUCAAAUUUUUUUUUUUUGAUCUUUGAAGUUAAUAAUUGAUAAAUACAACAUCAAUAUGGCAUUAUAUUGCAUAUUAUUAACAUAUUUGGGUUCAAUUUGGAGUUAAGUUACGGUACAAGGACUCUUGAUCCAAAAUUUCAAACAUAUAUUUAUUUACAUUAUAUUUCAACUAUAUCAUCUUAAAACUAAAGAAAAAAUAUAUAAAAUACGCAUUAAAAUGUAUCUAAAUAUUUAAGUACAAAGCGCAAUAAUUGAUAUACGAACUGUUGGUGCAGAAUUCCGCCGAAGCCGGAGUUGAGAUGACCGCGGCCACCGCCGAGACCUGCAAGGGAAGUCUAAACCAGAGUUGGAGGUGCUUCGGC
RNAcentral lists this long non-coding RNA (637 nucleotides) under Elaeis guineensis (African oil palm). RNAcentral describes it as "long non-coding RNA (EGUI_LNC023775)". Lineage: Eukaryota; Viridiplantae; Streptophyta; Magnoliopsida; Arecales; Arecaceae. The record is from RNAcentral.